This is a transfer RNA of 93 nucleotides. It matches the Rfam family "tRNA". Rfam says of the family: Transfer RNA (tRNA) molecules are approximately 80 nucleotides in length. Their secondary structure includes four short double-helical elements and three loops (D, anti-codon, and T loops). Further hydrogen bonds mediate the characteristic L-shaped molecular structure. tRNAs have two regions of fundamental functional importance: the anti-codon, which is responsible for specific mRNA codon recognition, and the 3' end, to which the tRNAs corresponding amino acid is attached (by aminoacyl-tRNA synthetases). tRNAs cope with the degeneracy of the genetic code in two manners: having more than one tRNA (with a specific anti-codon) for a particular amino acid; and 'wobble' base-pairing, i.e. permitting non-standard base-pairing at the 3rd anti-codon position. The record is from Rfam.
CCCCUGAUGGUCUAGUUGGAUAUGACGUCUGACUGUAAUGGGAUUUCUUACCUUGUAAUCAGAAGGUCGCUGGCUCGAUUCCGGCUCGGGGGA